Long non-coding RNA from Drosophila elegans, 836 nucleotides. RefSeq lists it as uncharacterized. Lineage: Eukaryota; Metazoa; Arthropoda; Insecta; Diptera; Drosophilidae. The record is from RefSeq and is a predicted model, not a curated record. The transcript has 2 exons.
UCCCGCCCAGAGCCACGAGCUGCUGGCUUUCUUUCCCUUUUCGGCAGCCAUCGAGUGCGGUUUAGUUCAAUUGUAAGUCUCGUAUUUAAUAAGUUGGUGAAAGUUUGUUUGAAAAUUAUAUCUCUAUAGUGGCCUUGUGUAAAGUGACGGAUAGAAUUCCCAGAUUAUAUAUAGCGCUGAAUCCUGUUUAUGGGUAAGAAAAAAUGAAAUGGUUGCGAAGUUUGCAGACCCAAAAGUGAUUUUUGAUUUAGGUUUGGCGCUUAGUAUCCGAUAUUGGAUCCGGCCGUUGCUGUAGAGGGAACAAUUCAUCAAGUCCCCCUAAAGAAGAGCGAAGUCAUCCGACGGAGAAGGGAAAUUAUCGUCGCAUAAAGGGGUCUCAAAGCCUAAGAGUUCCCUAAGAUAAUUAUUUAAUCAGCUUAAGUCGCUGGGAGCGGAGUUAGGACUAAGAGAGGGCAAAAGAGUCAAAAAGAACUCGAGAUGUAACACCUGCCCAAAUUACACAUAAUAUUUAUAUUCCCUCUUCAUCAUCUUCGUUAUCUCCCGUCUGCGAGCGCAACUUAGCGAAGUUCAGCUUGGCAGGCAGUUUUUCGGCGCGCUGAUCUAGUUUAGACGUUUCGGUCCACGCUCGGACAAAAAUUUAAUUUAACUCGUCGAACAACAAUGCGGAAUAAUUGUUAAGUCGCCGCACGGAAUGUUAUGUGAAAUAAGCAGUGAGAGUGGAAAAGUAAGAAAAAAAAAGAAGGGAAAGAAGAGAAAAGUGCAGUGAUGGUUAGAAGGCCAGAAAGGCUUUAAUAAUGAAUAACUAGAAGCACGAAUUGCUUUAGGCAUAAUUUAUU